CCAUCUCUUCAAGUUUUGUAGAAUUUUAUCCUGAUUAAAGAGGAAGAUCCAAAGUUUUCUGUCGUAAUUGCGCCCUAAAAGGCUCUAUGAAGGAAAUCCAAUAUCAAGGAAAAUUCUUGGAAAAGGGAUAACAAGGACUUGCCUAACCCUAUGAGUCCAGAUUCAAUAAAAAAAGAAGAAAAAAUCAAAAUCAAAAUCAAAAAGAAGAAAAAAAGAAAAAUAAAAAUCAAAGUCAAAAGUAAAAUAAAAAAGAAAAAAAUGAAAAUAAAAAAGGAAAAUAAAAAAGGAAAAAGAAAAGGAGAGGCCAAGACGAAAACCCGCAAAGGGCACUUUGACCAAAGAUGGAUUGUAGUUGAAAACCUGAAAAAGGGCAGCUCAAAUUUUGAGCAAAAUGGGGC
Molecule: long non-coding RNA, 398 nt
Filed under: Gossypium raimondii (Peruvian cotton)
Lineage: Eukaryota; Viridiplantae; Streptophyta; Magnoliopsida; Malvales; Malvaceae
Description: long non-coding RNA (GRAI_LNC003544)
Source: RNAcentral